GGAGUUGUGGCUUAGUGGUAGAGUGCUCACUUAGCACGCGUGAAGCACUGAGUUCUACUCUCAGCACCA
This 69-nucleotide transfer RNA is filed under the name Marmota monax (woodchuck). It matches the Rfam family "tRNA". From Rfam's summary of the family: Transfer RNA (tRNA) molecules are approximately 80 nucleotides in length. Their secondary structure includes four short double-helical elements and three loops (D, anti-codon, and T loops). The record is from Rfam by way of RNAcentral. Lineage: Eukaryota; Metazoa; Chordata; Mammalia; Rodentia; Sciuridae.